RNAcentral lists this ribosomal RNA (547 nucleotides) under Fusarium tricinctum. RNAcentral's name for it is "eukaryotic LSU rRNA". The stretch from base 149 to 302 matches the Rfam family "5.8S ribosomal RNA". The record is from RNAcentral. Lineage: Eukaryota; Fungi; Ascomycota; Sordariomycetes; Hypocreales; Nectriaceae.
CUUCCUGUUCACUCCCAUCCCCUGUGACAUACCUUAAUGUUGCCUCGGCGGAUCAGCCCGCGCCCCGUAAAACGGGACGGCCCGCCAGAGGACCCAAACUCUAAUGUUUCUUAUUGUAACUUCUGAGUAAAACAAACAAAUAAAUCAAAACUUUCAACAACGGAUCUCUUGGUUCUGGCAUCGAUGAAGAACGCAGCAAAAUGCGAUAAGUAAUGUGAAUUGCAGAAUUCAGUGAAUCAUCGAAUCUUUGAACGCACAUUGCGCCCGCUGGUAUUCCGGCGGGCAUGCCUGUUCGAGCGUCAUUUCAACCCUCAAGCCCCCGGGUUUGGUGUUGGGGAUCGGCUCUGCCUUCUGGCGGUGCCGCCCCCGAAAUACAUUGGCGGUCUCGCUGCAGCCUCCAUUGCGUAGUAGCUAACACCUCGCAACUGGAACGCGGCGCGGCCAUGCCGUAAAACCCCAACUUCUGAAUGUUGACCUCGGAUCAGGUAGGAAUACCCGCUGAACUUAAGCAUAUCAAUAAGGCGGAGGAAAUGGGGGUUUCCCCCAC